RNAcentral lists this ribosomal RNA (207 nucleotides) under uncultured bacterium. Its description in RNAcentral is "partial 16S ribosomal RNA". It matches the Rfam family "Bacterial small subunit ribosomal RNA", at positions 568 to 774 of the family's 1533-position model. The record is from RNAcentral.
UGCGUAGGUGGCGUGGUAAGUCAGAUGUGAAAGCCCGGGGCUCAACCUCGGAAUUGCAUCCGAUACUGCCAUGCUAGAGUACUGAAGAGGUGACUAGAAUUCUAGGUGUAGCAGUGAAAUGCGUAGAUAUCUAGAGGAAUACCAACGGCGAAGGCAGGUCACUGGGCAGUUACUGACACUGAGGCACGAAGGCCAGGGGAGCAAACG